CCGCACGGGUGAGUAACACGUAUCCAACCUGCCGUCUACUCUUGGACAGCCUUCUGAAAGGAAGAUUAAUACAAGAUGGCAUCAUGAGUCCGCAUGUUCACAUGAUUAAAGGUAUUCCGGUAGACGAUGGGGAUGCGUUCCAUUAGAUAGUAGGCGGGGUAACGGCCCACCUAGUCUUCGAUGGAUAGGGGUUCUGGGAGGAAGGUCCCCCACAUUGGAACUGAGACACGGUCCAA
This 236-nucleotide ribosomal RNA is filed under the name uncultured bacterium. RNAcentral describes it as "partial 16S ribosomal RNA". It matches the Rfam family "Bacterial small subunit ribosomal RNA", at positions 98 to 334 of the family's 1533-position model. The record is from RNAcentral.